This 215-nucleotide long non-coding RNA is filed under the name Elaeis guineensis (African oil palm). Its description in RNAcentral is "long non-coding RNA (EGUI_LNC067129)". Lineage: Eukaryota; Viridiplantae; Streptophyta; Magnoliopsida; Arecales; Arecaceae. The record is from RNAcentral.
CUUCCGGCCAUCUUUUCCGGCACCCGCUCCUCCUCCCCUCAUCUGAUGCCCUCUCACGAGGUCUCUGCACAACUACCUCCGGCUAUGGUCGCCGAUAAGGGGUGGCCAGAUGACCGGUCUCUGUCGGAUUCCGUCAACGUCAUCUCGGGGGAAUCCCGACGGGAGGCAAUCAGCGCACCAGCUGCAUCCCCUAAGCGGCAAAAGGUUGAAGAACC